RNAcentral lists this transfer RNA (72 nucleotides) under Palleon nasus (elongate leaf chameleon). Its description in RNAcentral is "partial tRNA-Leu". It matches the Rfam family "tRNA". Rfam says of the family: Transfer RNA (tRNA) molecules are approximately 80 nucleotides in length. Their secondary structure includes four short double-helical elements and three loops (D, anti-codon, and T loops). Lineage: Eukaryota; Metazoa; Chordata; Lepidosauria; Squamata; Chamaeleonidae. The record is from RNAcentral.
ACUUUUAAAGGAAAAUAGUAACCCACCGGUCUUAGAAACACAAGCUUGGUGCAAAUCCAAGUAAAAGUAAUG